UCCGAUAUAGUGUAGGGGCUAUCACAUCACGCUCUCAUAAUGAGAACCGUGGAGACCGGGGUUCGAUUCCCCGUAUCGGAG
Molecule: transfer RNA, 81 nt
Filed under: Yarrowia lipolytica
Lineage: Eukaryota; Fungi; Ascomycota; Dipodascomycetes; Dipodascales
Also listed under: 1 other name
Rfam family: tRNA
About the family: Transfer RNA (tRNA) molecules are approximately 80 nucleotides in length. Their secondary structure includes four short double-helical elements and three loops (D, anti-codon, and T loops). Further hydrogen bonds mediate the characteristic L-shaped molecular structure. tRNAs have two regions of fundamental functional importance: the anti-codon, which is responsible for specific mRNA codon recognition, and the 3' end, to which the tRNAs corresponding amino acid is attached (by aminoacyl-tRNA synthetases). tRNAs cope with the degeneracy of the genetic code in two manners: having more than one tRNA (with a specific anti-codon) for a particular amino acid; and 'wobble' base-pairing, i.e. permitting non-standard base-pairing at the 3rd anti-codon position.
Source: Rfam by way of RNAcentral